UCACCCUUUCUCCACUUCUCUCUGAAAAAAUUCUCACUUUUUUUCUCACACUUUCCCGGAUAACCCAAUCCAUCCCAUCUUCAAAAGCAGAAAAUUUUCCCUCAAGAAAGUGGUUUUCCUUACCACAAAAGCAGAUGUAUUCAAUUCAAGAAACGGGUUCAAAGAUUUUCCCCAGAAAAUCUGAUCCUCUCUCUUCAAAUGGGUUUUUAAUUUUGAAAUACUUAAUUUCUUAAUUUUAAUUUAAUUAUAAAAAAAAAUUUCUUCUGUUUUCGCAGACUACUGACGGUGAUGAGGAAGUUAUGUACAAAGUUUCCAAUCUCUCAAAUCAAGAAAAGGGUCUGAAGAUUUUCUCUGGUACUGGGAUACAAGGCAGUCAAAUCCAGUGCAUACUCCCUAACCGCUUUUAUUCUUUUACAAUGCGGCAUCCCCUGAUGGUUGUUGGCACUGCAGAUCGCAAUCUGAUAGUUUUCAACUUGCAGAACCCUCUGGUGACAUUCUCAUCUAAUAAAAUGAACCAAUAAUGAUUUUCUUGCAUCUUUCUUUGACAAUCAGAUACUUCAUUAUUACAGAACAACAUUUUGUAAGUCUGGCAGUAAUGUUUCGCACUUAAAGUUUGAGAACUUUUUUCAUCUACUUUUGAUAUGUAGAUCUAGGCUUCUAGAAUGUGAUCAUGUAAGGGUAUCUCUGCACAGUAUUAGGGGAUAUCAACUUCUAGCUUUAGCUUAUUGGAUAAUCUUAUUUUUGGUCUUUUCUGACCCUUAAAAUUUAAUUUACUAUUGCUUUUAAGUGUUCCAAUGAAUCAUUGAUUCUUCUCCACACCCCGUUCCCCAAUGAAUAAUUGAUUCUGUGUGCAUGUGUUUGGACUUGAUAGAAAACAAGAUAGGGUGGAGGGUCCUGGCUUCAAAUUUGUAUUUCCAACUUAUUAUUAUAAAUUUAUCAGCUGCUAAUCGAUUCACUGCAUGUGACAUUAACUUUUUGCUAUUGUUAGCAAAACCUUUUUUUGCGAUUGACUAGUUCGUUUAUUUAUUUUUUCCAAACAAAUUUGAGGCAGUGAUGAUGGUCAUUAUUCAGUACUUUCUUUAGCUUUUACUGCAUUCCUUAGUCUGCUGUGAAAGCAAAUUUUGGGUUGAAAACACAGGAAAAACCCAAUUGGUCUGUAGCUACUAAGAGAGAUGCUUACAAGUGCUGGAGCAAGAGAAAUGAUUUCUAUGCAGUAUAGAGACCUUUUUGUAUCAACACCCUAAAAGGUUACAGCAUUUUUUUUUUUCAUAACCACCAGAAGUUGGAUGCGGAAUUUUAAUCUUAUGAACAUGACUCCUUACAUAUUAUUUGCGGAUGCUAGCAGCACGACUCACAAGUGCUUCCUCAUUUCUUGUUGCUAAGGAUUCUCCUACUGAGUUCAAGAGAAUCACUUCACCUCUAAAGUACCAGACAAGAUGUGUUGCUGCCUUUCCAGAUCAGCAAGGUUUGUUGUUGAUAGAUCGGAUCCAAGAAAGGCAAUUUCCUGGUUCUGGUCUGCCAUAAUGCUGGGGACCUGGUUGAUAGUGCCUUGAAAGACAUGGCAAUUGUGAUGAAACAAUUGGAUCGAUUUGAUGAGGCAAUUGAGGCCAUCAAAUCUUUUCGUCAUCUCUGCCUUUAUGAUUCUUAGGAAUCUCUUGGCAAUGUGUUAGUUAACUCUACAAGGUAAAACUAAAACCAGUUUUAUCCAAUAAAUAGUUUCUUAUAUUUUACUUGCCAUUCUUUGUCAUUUUCCUUUCAGCUAGUUACAUAUAUUGGGGCAACAACAACAAGAAAGCUGGAGUGUGGCAAGUAUAAAUG
Quercus lobata is the source of this 1818-nucleotide RNA transcript. It is a transcript of the gene named protein RAE1-like, with no coding region annotated. The record is from RefSeq and is a predicted model, not a curated record. NCBI's taxonomy places the organism in Eukaryota, Viridiplantae, Streptophyta, Magnoliopsida, Fagales, Fagaceae. The transcript has 4 exons.